This is an RNA transcript of Oryza brachyantha (malo sina), 976 nucleotides long. It is a transcript of the gene named protein cornichon homolog 4, with no coding region annotated. The transcript has 5 exons. NCBI's taxonomy places the organism in Eukaryota, Viridiplantae, Streptophyta, Magnoliopsida, Poales, Poaceae. The record is from RefSeq and is a predicted model, not a curated record.
GCUUCUGCUGACGCAGAGAAGAAGAAUCUGCAUCUCUUGUGGGCCGCCGCAUCCAUUUCCCCGCGUUCCAGCUCACCCGCCUCGCCGCCGGUCGCCGCAGCUUGUUGCGGCGCGACGGUUGUUAUUCCGGCUAGGGUUCCGGCGAGCCCCAUCCCCCACGGAGAGAGAGAGGCCAGCGCCGCCAUCUCAGGGAAGUAGGGGGGAGAGAUGGUUUUCGUGUGGCUCACCGCCUUCUUCCUCGUCGUCGCGCUCAUCGUGCUCGUCAUCUACCAGCUGAUGUGCUUGGCAGAUCUGGAGUUUGACUAUAUCAACCCAUUUGAUUCAUCUUCUCGGAUAAAUAAAGUGGUUAUGCCAGAAUUCGUAUUGCAAGCAGUUCUAAGUGUAUUGUUCCUCCUAUCGGGGCAUUGGGCAAUGUUCUUACUUUCUGCCCCGAUGGUGUACUAUAACUAUACGCUGUACCAGCGACGGCAACAUCUUGUAGAUGUAACGGAAAUAUUUAAUCACCUUGGCCGGGAGAAGAAACGUCGUCUUUUUAAGAUAGUUGGCCUCAUCAUUCUCCUAUUUUUGUCCUUGUUUUGGAUGAUCUGGAGUGUAUUGUUGGAGGAGGACCAGUAGAAUGAAAAAACACUAUGUAGGUCAUAUUGGUGUUCCAAGUUCCAACCAUUAGUUAGGUCAUCUGGAGAAGCAAGGCAAGUGAAAGAAAUCGUGGCCUCAAACAAAAAUAUGAUUGGCUUGUGGAGCUGUUUUUUUUCUCCCGAUUUAUAGUGAAGCUCCUACCGUGUCGGCGUGUAUCUUGUAAAUUAGGGGCUACUGCCACUAUUUAUUUGAACCGUGCAUCGGUUCUCAUGGGGGCAAAGGAUUUAGUUCCGUUGCUGUGCGUGAGUUAUCUUGCCUUGCACUGCAGAAUGUCCUCGAUUUUAUGUUGACCUCGUGUGGUUUGAUUUUUGUUUAGUGAGAUGAGAUCCUUUCCUCUGAA